This is a long non-coding RNA of Saccostrea echinata, 220 nucleotides long. RefSeq lists it as uncharacterized. Lineage: Eukaryota; Metazoa; Mollusca; Bivalvia; Ostreida; Ostreidae. The record is from RefSeq and is a predicted model, not a curated record. The transcript is spliced from 2 exons.
CUGAAUAGACUAUCUGCCCUACUACCGGAGUACUGUCUAAAAGGAAAGGCAGAAAAUACCAGAAAGAAAUAUAAUUUGAUGAAUGUAUAUGGAUGGAGGUAUAAGGGUACAUGAUGGUACAUGAGAAUACAUGAUGGUACAUGAGGGUACAUGAGGAUUGAUAAUGUAUAUUAUAAUGUGUGAAUAAAUCUGAGUGCUUCGCCUCCUAUCCUAUAAAUAA